GGUGGACAUGCAUUGUAUUCUCCCAUGAUAUUAAUUGUUAAAGCUCCCUCUUGAGUUUUUGACUACUAUUGUCUAAUAACUUAGGAAUCUAUAUGAUAGAAUAUAUUAUUUAUAUUAAUUAAUUAACUAUAUUACUGCUUCCCUGCUUAAAUAUUAUCCUUCCAAGCAGGUCAGUGCCUAAAAUUGUCUAGGUAAUUAAUAACUAUUGUUGCCUAAUAUAGAAUAGGACUACCAGAAUUGAGUUACCUUGUAGAUGAAAAAUUAUAAUUGAUUCUUGCUCUUUUAACAAGAGACAUCAACAAAAGAGUAAUUGGAGGUGCAAGGUAAAGAAAAGAGUGUACAAGAAAGAUAAGAAUAAAUAUUGUU
RNAcentral lists this long non-coding RNA (366 nucleotides) under Phoenix dactylifera (date palm). RNAcentral's name for it is "long non-coding RNA (PDAC_LNC013650)". Lineage: Eukaryota; Viridiplantae; Streptophyta; Magnoliopsida; Arecales; Arecaceae. The record is from RNAcentral.